GAAUAUUGGACAAUGGGGGGAACCCUGAUCCAGCCAUGCCGCGUGUGUGAAGAAGGCCUUUUGGUUGUCAAGCACUUUAAGCGCGGAGGCGGAGACCUUGGUUAUUAGCCAAGAUGCGUGAACGUUACACGCAGAAUGAGCACCGGCUAACUCGGUGCCAGCAGCCGCGGUAAUACAGAGGGUGCAAGCGUUAAUCGGAUUUACUGGGCGUAAAGCGCGCGUAGGUGGCCAAUUAAGUCAAAUGUGAGAUCCCCGAGCUUAACUUGGGAAUUGCAUUCGAUACUGGUUGGCUAGAGUAUGGGAGAGGAUGGUAGAAUUCCAGGUGUAGCGGUGAAAUGCGUAGAGAUCUGGAGGAAUACCGAUGGCGAAGGCAGCCAUCUGGCCUAAUACUGACACUGAGGUGCGAAAGCAUGGGGAGCAAACA
This 424-nucleotide ribosomal RNA is filed under the name uncultured bacterium. Its description in RNAcentral is "partial 16S ribosomal RNA". It matches the Rfam family "Bacterial small subunit ribosomal RNA", at positions 359 to 774 of the family's 1533-position model. The record is from RNAcentral.